AUUUAAAUAGUUUAAAAAAAACAUUGAUUUGUGAUAUCAAAAUUAUAAAAUUUAUUUUAAAUU
RNAcentral lists this transfer RNA (63 nucleotides) under Meteorus sp. 2 XHS-2023a. RNAcentral's name for it is "tRNA-His". Lineage: Eukaryota; Metazoa; Arthropoda; Insecta; Hymenoptera; Braconidae. The record is from RNAcentral.